RNAcentral lists this ribosomal RNA (497 nucleotides) under uncultured bacterium. RNAcentral's name for it is "partial 16S ribosomal RNA". It matches the Rfam family "Bacterial small subunit ribosomal RNA", at positions 28 to 507 of the family's 1533-position model. The record is from RNAcentral.
GAUGAACGCUGGCGGCGUGCCUAAUACAUGCAAGUCGAGCGAACAGACGAGGAGCUUGCUCCUCUGACGUUAGCGGCGGACGGGCGAGUAACACGUGGAUAACCUACCUAUAAGACUGGGAUAACUUCGGGAAACCGGAGCUAAUACCGGAUAAUAUAUUGAACCGCAUGGUUCAAUAGUGAAAGACGGUUUUGCUGUCACUUAUAGAUGGAUCCGCGCCGCAUUAGCUAGUUGGUAAGGUAACGGCUUACCAAGGCAACGAUGCGUAGCCGACCUGAGAGGGUGAUCGGCCACACUGGAACUGAGACACGGUCCAGACUCCUACGGGAGGCAGCAGUAGGGAAUCUUCCGCGAUGGGCGAAAGCUUGACGGAGCAACGCCGCGUGAGUGAUGAAGGUCUUCGGAUCGUAAAACUCUGUUAUUAGGGAAGAACAAAUGUGUAAGUAACUAUGCACGUCUUGACGGUACCUAAUCAGAAAGCCACGGCUAACUACGUG